This is a small nuclear RNA of Ochotona princeps (American pika), 148 nucleotides long. Its record names the gene U1. It matches the Rfam family "U1 spliceosomal RNA". Rfam says of the family: U1 is a small nuclear RNA (snRNA) component of the spliceosome (involved in pre-mRNA splicing). Lineage: Eukaryota; Metazoa; Chordata; Mammalia; Lagomorpha; Ochotonidae. The record is from Ensembl.
GUGCUCACCUGGUGGCGAGGUACCGCGAUCUCGCAGGGCAGCUCAGCCCUUACACUGCACGUACCCUGACAGCUGCGGUUUUCCCAAAUGUGGGAAAUUUGACUGCGUGGCUAGUGGUAGUAGGGGACUGCAUUUACACUUCCCCCGA